This 465-nucleotide ribosomal RNA is filed under the name uncultured Klebsiella sp. RNAcentral's name for it is "bacterial SSU rRNA". It matches the Rfam family "Bacterial small subunit ribosomal RNA", at positions 338 to 795 of the family's 1533-position model. The record is from RNAcentral. Lineage: Bacteria; Pseudomonadati; Pseudomonadota; Gammaproteobacteria; Enterobacterales; Enterobacteriaceae.
CCUACGGGCGGCUGCAGUGGGGAAUAUUGCACAAUGGGCGCAAGCCUGAUGCAGCCAUGCCGCGUGUGUGAAGAAGGCCUUCGGGUUGUAAAGCACUUUCAGCGGGGAGGAAGGCGUUAAGGUUAAUAACCUUGUCGAUUGACGUUACCCGCAGAAGAAGCACCGGCUAACUCCGUGCCAGCAGCCGCGGUAAUACGGAGGGUGCAAGCGUUAAUCGGAAUUACUGGGCGUAAAGCGCACGCAGGCGGUCUGUCAAGUCGGAUGUGAAAUCCCCGGGCUCAACCUGGGAACUGCAUUCGAAACUGGCAGGCUAGAGUCUGGUAGAGGGGGGUAGAAUUCCAGGUGUAGCGGUGAAAUGCGUAGAGAUCUGGAGGAAUACCGGUGGCGAAGGCGGCCCCCUGGACAAAGACUGACGCUCAGGUGCGAAAGCGUGGGGAGCAAACAGGAUUAGAUACCCCUGUAGUC